This is a non-coding RNA of Pelobates cultripes (western spadefoot toad), 257 nucleotides long. Lineage: Eukaryota; Metazoa; Chordata; Amphibia; Anura; Pelobatidae. The record is from the annotation of a GenBank genome assembly.
AAGAAGACGCCCAACGCCGGAAUAACCUGAAAGUUAGAGGUAUUCCGGAGGACAUACCUGAUGCCGAGUUACCACAUCUAAUGAGGAGACUUAUGGCUGCACUACUUCUCCCACGGCAGGCUAAAGCUAUACAACUGGAUGGCCAGUUCCGAAUCCCCAAACCGGCCAAGGCCCCAGCAACAUUCCCGCGGGACCUGGUGGUCCAAUUCAAAUCGGGAAUAGACAAAGUAGCAGUCCUUAUGGCCCUCAAGGGAAAG